RNAcentral lists this ribosomal RNA (253 nucleotides) under uncultured bacterium. Its description in RNAcentral is "partial 16S ribosomal RNA". It matches the Rfam family "Bacterial small subunit ribosomal RNA", at positions 524 to 776 of the family's 1533-position model. The record is from RNAcentral.
UACAGAGGAGCCAAGCGUUGUCCGGAUUGACUGGGCGUAAAGCGCACGCAGGCGGAUGCGCGCGUGGGGUGUGAAAUCUGGCCGCUUAACGGCCAGGCGCCAUCCCAUACGGCGCGUCUGGAGUGAUGCAGAGGUCGGUGGAAUUGCCGGUGUAGUGGUGAAAUGCGUAGAUAUUCGGAAGAACACCAGUGGCGAAGGCGACUCGCUGGACAGACAUUGACGCUGAGGUGCGAAAGCGUGGGGAGCAAACAGG